This 465-nucleotide long non-coding RNA is filed under the name Marmota monax (woodchuck). Lineage: Eukaryota; Metazoa; Chordata; Mammalia; Rodentia; Sciuridae. The record is from RNAcentral.
UAUUAUUACAACACUUUGGCUAUACUAUAAUUCAUUUGUUACCUGACUAUAACUUGGAUACACUGAAAAGAAUCUGAUGUUAUAGUUGGAAGCUGGUUUAAGAAGAGAUUUCUUUAAAUUUUAAGUUCAAUUAAAUUAUGCUUCACUACUUCUUUGAAACUGUACUCACUUGCUUCACACUAGUUCCUGUUCCAAUCCCUAAAGUGUAGAAAAGAUUUACUUAUUGCUUAAAUAAAGGCUUUCUGAAUAAUAACCCCAUGGGACAAGCCAGAGCCCAGGUGCUCUGUUUGUAUGACUUCAUCCUAAAAGUACCACAUUUACUGCUGGAGAGGUAGCAAUAUGUUUCUGAAAUAAUUUGUAGGUUUAAAAAAAAACUUUAAGGAAAAAUAUGAAUAAAAUAUUAAGCCAAAGCACAUGGGUUCCAGGUGUGUAUCCAAGACAGCUUUUUGACAAGUAAAUAUUUCC